This is a long non-coding RNA of Aquila chrysaetos chrysaetos, 4166 nucleotides long. RefSeq lists it as uncharacterized. Lineage: Eukaryota; Metazoa; Chordata; Aves; Accipitriformes; Accipitridae. The transcript is spliced from 6 exons. The record is from RefSeq and is a predicted model, not a curated record.
CCUUCCCCUGCCACAGCAGGGCUGGGAGUGAAGAGCCUGUGCCUGCAAGCAACUGCUUUUCUCCCAGCUCUGCAAGGAAGGAGAUGGAAAAACCGAUGAAGAUGCAAGUCUGGAGUCAAGUUACACUCUGCCUCCAGCUUUCUCCAGCCCAGAGCUUUCCGUCUUCCUUGCUUGGAGAGCUCAGGAGGUCCUGGAGAAGGGCAGGUGCUGGGAGGACCAGAAAUCUCAGUGCUACCUCUGGAGAGGGAAGAUCUUGAGAAGGUCGGGGAAGAAUCAAGGAGCUGCAUCCUUUAACCGCCUCGCUUGAAGGUGUAACCCAAGUCCCAUGGUCCUCUCCACCCAUGGUACAGCACAUCCACGUGGGGCUGGCAUCCCUCAGCUGCCUCCGGAGCAAAACCAUCCAUCCCGCUCCCCUGGAUGCUGCUCAGAGACGCUCCUGAGAUGCUGACGUGCAGAUAAAUCACCAGCCCCAAGCACCUGCUCCAAGGCUGGGCAGCUGCAGGGCCGGGAAGCUCUGAGGCUAAAAAAAGAUGGGAGCAGAUGGGGCUGGACGCAGCCACCGCUUUGCAGAGGAACCAGGAGUUGUCCCCUGCCCUGUUCGGUCUCUGCCGAAUGCCAACCCUGUGAGUGAUGGUGGCAGUGCCCAGCGCACGCAGCUGGGGUGCUGGGGACUACCAGCAAGCUCAGACAUGCCUCAGUUUCCCCAGCAGCUAAAAUGCAGCGUCCUGGUGUCCACGUAGAGUGGUGGGAGAGGAAGGUCUGGGCUCUGCGUGGCUUCAGUGCAAGGUUGUCACUGGGGUCCUGCCAAGGCAACCAAAACCCUCGGCCAGGCUCACCGGCAGGAGCGAUCUGACACGGCUGCCUCAUUGGGAGAUGCUCCUGCAGCUUUUGCCACCUUCUCUCCCCUCCCAGGUAAUGUGGGGAAUGCAGCAAAGGCCACGGGGGGAAAACACGGCCCCACACACGUGUGCAGAUGCCGGCAGCACGGACCUCGCUCCUGCCAAACCUUCGGCACGUGGGUUGAACUUCAUGGCUGCAGUGGCGGUGCUGCUCUCCACCACCCACCUUGCAGCAUCCGUCACCUGGCUGUUUUGAAGGGGGUGGGGGGUUGACCAAACCAAAGUCCUCGAGGUUUCUGUUCCAUGUUAGCGGAUUAAAAACCCUGUCUCUCUUGCAGACAUGUCUAAAGGGAAAAUGUCUCUUGGGCUUGAACCUGCUUCAUCCUUGCAGGCGUUUGCAAUUUGCUGUAAAAAUCAGGCAGGGUGUCUUGGGCGGCUUCCUUUGUGACAUCGGAGCUUGCCAGCAGCAAACAGGGCUCCGAAUCUGGCCCAUAGCACUGAAAGGCGUGAAUCCCUGGAGAUUAGAGGGUUGGAUUUUGGUGUGGGUUUUUUUUGUUGGUUUUUUUUUUUUUUUUUUUUCCACAAUGCCAUUCAGGGCCUGGAAAGGCUGUCCCUGUCACCUCGACCCAGUCCAGCUCUCCAGCAUGGCUAUGCAAAUUGGUCAGUGCUUUUGCAGGCAACAUUAGAACUCGGAUGAGCAGGAGCUCCCCGGGGGCUGCACAGGCACGCCGGGCUGGAGAACUCGCUGCUUUUUUCCUUCGAGGAAUAGGCAAAGUGGCCUCAAUAUUUGCAGAAAAUGCUGUUAACUAUUGCAAAGGGAAAAGUUAAAGGCUGGGAGCGGCGGAGGGAGCUGGGAGCGAGCGGGGAACGUGCAGCCUGCAAAACUUCAGCUGCUGCUAGACAUGGCAUCCCUGCAUUUGCUUAAUCAACAUUUGCUUUUGGCUUGUGCUGGAGCAACACAGAAGAAAAACAAAUUCCUUGGGAUAAAAGCAGCUCUCUGCCGCAGUAUUAGAAGCACAAAGGUGUCGGCAACACGGCAUAGAUGAGAUUUGUUUAACACUCCUCUGAGCCUUUUAAACCACAAAUUAAUGAACUUCAGACCGACGCAAUAUUGAUGAAAUGGUUUCCCAGCUGGCCCCGCGUACAGAAGAUGCAGGACUCUGCAUCCCUGCGCACCCCAGGGUCUCGCCCCCGCCACACGUCUCCUUUCUGGGCUCCAUCAGCUGCGGCUGCAUCGGCGUGACCACGGCCGGGUACCAUGGCCCGGGAGGGACCCGAAUGCCUGAGCCCAUGGUACCAGGACCGGGAGGGCCAAAGCAAAUGUGUGUGUUGAUGUCGCUGCAUCCAAAGAUUUCCCUGACCGGGGGGGACAUCGCUGGCUCGCUGCGGCCUGGAGAGACACCAGAGAGAUGCGCCGACGACCAGAGUUAAGGGUAAAAGGGAGUAAAAUCUUCCAGGAGCGGGGAUGGACGUCUCAGUGCGUGCUGCCCUGGCUGUACUGAGUGGUGCCCCCAGCCGCGUUCACCCUCCCUGCCCCGACGUCUUGACACGCGGAUAAAAGCCGGGCUGAAGGGACGAUUUCACGGAGAUUAACCUCACGCGCUGCGCUGGGGCUGCCGCUGCCCUUGACACUGGGUCCCCCAUGUAUCAAAGGUGGAUUACAGAUAUAUUAGCCCCGCCACUGGUUUUAUUAGUGGCGGUUUAUCACGUGGAGGGGGUCAGCCAAGGGCAGGGGACGGAGGAGCCCAGUCACCCUCCGGGGACCCAGAGCAUCACAGAGAGGCUUUAAUUGAAUUUUUGGGAGGAAACCUGGGCUGGGGUCAGUGUUUGCUGCCUGGCCCCGGUGCAGCCCAGCUCCCCAAGAUUUGUAGUGCUGAUGGGUGAUGCCUGCGGUGCCCAUGGCAAGGGAGAAGGGAAGCUUUUGGCCUCAUUGCAGGCAGGGCUGCCCCUGUGCACCACCCCGGGCUGGGUUUAGAGAGAUUUGAUUCAAAAAUAAAUCAAUCCCCUCUGGGAGGCACUCGGACGGCUUCUGCUGGGGAUGGAGAUGCCAGUCCUGUCCUGCCUGGGCGCAUCCCUCCUCAUCCCACACAAAACCUCCCCUGGGCUGGAGGAAUUUGACUCCUUCGACCCAAACAAAUGCCUUCGAACCCUGAGCAUCCCCGUGCGGCACCGGGGUACCCAAACCCAAGGGGGUUCAGGUGGAUGCUGGGAUGCCCGGCAUCGAUGCAACAAGUCGCAUCAAGGAGGUGGGGGCAGGAUUUGAGCAUGAAAGAGGUUAAAGUGGGGCAAAGCAGGGGGGAAGAGAAACCUCCUGAACCGGGCGUUUUAAUGACAUUCCAUUAAAGCUCCCUUUGGGGCUGGCGCGGCAGCCAUGUGCUCCACAUUCUCAUGGUAAUUAUGAGACAUCUGUAUAGAGGCUCUUUUCUCAUCAAAGAUGGCUCUCUUCAAAGACACUCCUGGGAAACCCUUCACCUCUGACCCAGGGGGUCACUGCCGAAACAGUGGCUCUAUAGUGCGCGUUACUGUAAAGCCCAGUAUCCUUUUUCUUCCCCUAACCUGACCAGUUCCCGGCUUUUCAGGCACGAUUCGUUGAGCUUGAGAGGGUUGCGGCGGGGGGCACCGGUUUCAGAGAAGGGUGUCCCACACACACACCACCACCACCAGUGCCAGUCCUGGGUGCCGUCAUCGUCAUCGCCUGCGCUGACCCCGGGGCGCAGGAGGGAGAUCAAAGUAGGAUGAAAAGGCAUUUAAUGAGAGCAGACAGGGCUGAGGGUUUCCUGUCCCCUCACUGGGGAAGGGAUGGCCUCCGCCCCCCACAGUGUCACCCAUCACCGCUCUCUGCCUGGUGCACCCCACCCGGGAAGUGCCAGGUCCCAGGGAGUGAUUUUUGGUGAUUGCCACAAAAAACCCCACCAUCCUCCAUGCUGCGGAGGUGAUGGGGACGUGCCUGAGGUCCCCCCCAGCCACAAAACAUGGGCACUUCAUCACCAUGAGGGUGCUCGAUGUCCCCACAUCCCCUGGGGAUGGAGACCACCUUGUCCCAUGGGGAUGUUUCCAGCAGAGCCGGCAUUGCCGUCCCAUCCACGGCACCGGCAUCACUGUCCCAUCCAUGCCACCGGUGACCCUGAUGUCCCACCUCCCCAGCUGGGCGACGACGGCCUUGGGACGAAGGCGACGGAUGCCUGGCAGGUCCCUUGGUGCCGGCAUGGGCGGCUCCAUCACGCCAGCACAGCACUGGCGAAUGCUCCCCACGGCCCUUUCCAAUAAGCGGCAAAUGAUUCUUCGUCCUGUCGCUCCCCGGCAGCAAUAAACCUUAAUCACAAUGAA